Molecule: non-coding RNA, 3946 nt
Organism: Meleagris gallopavo (turkey)
Lineage: Eukaryota; Metazoa; Chordata; Aves; Galliformes; Phasianidae
Source: RefSeq, a predicted model, not a curated record
UAAAAAAAAGAACAGUGGUCUGUGAAACAAGCAGAACAAGAGCUGGAUUUCAAAGUGUUCUUGCAGUUCUUUUGACUUAUGGCAGAGCAGCCAUCACAUUUAUUCAUUUUGUUCAUUUACUUGCUGGCAUAAAUGAACGCUACUGACAGCAGUUGCUGGGAAGAGGACACAGCAUGCCCAGACACUGCAGACAAAUUCUAUAUUCUGCUCUGCCCAUUACAUUAUAAUGUUUGAAACUAAAGCUUCCCUAGAGCAGGGUUACACAAAAAUUGCUUUGGAUAGGGAACGAAGACACAUAGAUGCCUCCAGCUAGACCUGCAUCCACAAAAAUGUAAGCUAGCAGUUUAAUUACCAACAGUUUUAACACAGUGAGAUAUGCAGUUUUUUAAUUGAUCACACUGAGAUAAAACCAAUCGAUAAAAUAAAGAGCACACUUAGAAUAAACAAAAGGAUAACUUUGUAUAAAAUACAUUCUCAUUAGAAGAAAGUAUGCUGCUUCAAAACAAUCCCUGAGGUACCUUUGUGACUUGCAAUUUUUAAGCAAAGACAGUUCUGUGCAAAUUAGGGAAAGCAAAUCCUUAAAGAAAUAACCACAUCUGGCUGCCCCUCAAAGCUUGAUUGAAAUGAUUUCCAAAGUAGGAGAGGGAAGGCACAGCGGAAAGGAAAAAGAUCAGUAAUACUAAGAAAAAAAAUGUUGCUUUUGAGACAUCCUGCAGAAUGACAUUUCAAGUCAUUCGUACGUCUACACUUAGUUAAUGAUUAAUGUGGAACAUUCUGCCAGGAGCAUUUAUUAAAACCGCAUCUAUUAUAACCAUGGGGCAUCUAUCGUGCUGCAGGAAGAUUUAGGAGAAUUGAGAUCUGCUUCUGCUGCAUGUCCCAACAGAACAAGUUCUGCAAGCACUCCGAUCAGGCCUGCAGCACCCACUCUAGGCUAAGAGCACUGGACCCAAAGAGUUGAAGCAGUCCUUUGGUGCAGGCUGGCCAGGCCGUGGAUUUCUGCCCAAGGGCACUCAGCUUUGACUGGUGAGCCAAGACGAUCACUGGCCAACGGCUGUACAUGUGGACCCAAGAUAUGUGCAUGUAACAGUGCCACAAGCUAAGUAUGAGUUGAACAAUUCCACUCUUACCCCCUCUGUUUCGAAUGCCUGGGGCUGAUUACCCCUGGCAAUGCCAGGCCCAUCCAUCACACACACAGAGCUGCACCGGGCUAAUGAGAUGGGAACUAGCAGCAGUGUAACGAGACGGGAAAUCAAUGCUCCUGUUUCCAACAACACACUUGCUAUAAAAUUCUUCAGAGUAACUUUUGUUAACUCACAAAUCACAGAGCUUAAUAAUUGCUUCCAAAGCUGCGUUAAGACAUUACUCAAGCUCUUUCUGUACACGUGUAUAAGAAUGCAUCACAUAAGCAAACAGAACCUGGCCACUCCAGCCAUGCCGUGCUCCUGCCACGCUGUGUCUGUAACCCACAUGCACAUUGAUCCUCACGCGGACAUAAAGCACUAAUGGAUUUAGUAACCACCUGGAAAUUAACUGCGGUGCUUCACUGCUAUACGUCUCAAAUUAGAGCAGUUGUCUCAGGUACUGUGCGUUCUCAGUGCAGGAUUAAUCUUUGUUACACAGCUCACCAGCCUCAUUUCAAUUACUUUAGCAGUUUACUGCUGUAUAUGGGACCUUUGGGAAUGAUGAAAAUAUUGUUUGUGGGUUGUUUCCCUCCCCCGCCGCAGGUUCACCUUCAAGUUUUAGGAAACACAAUCCCUGAUGUCCCUCACAGAUGAGGAACUCCCCAUUUUAGGGGAAACCUUCCUGUUCAACACUGUGACCCACAUCUCUUUCUAGGGAUUAGGAUGACUAUCUGAGUUCCAGUGCUGAUCAGAGUGUGGGUGACAAGAAGGCUUGACCAAGGCAUCACCAAAGGAAGGACCCACAUGGUGGGACAACACCCCAAGGCACCCAGCCCAGGAACCAGCCAACAGCUCCAGCUGCCAGUGCUACAGAUGUCCUUGGCACAACCCUGGAACUGCAACCACAAUGACAAAGCAAAGCACAGCCUCAGCAGGAUCCAGAAUUAGGAGAUGGACAAAGACAACCUGCCAACACAUUUUUAUCAGAGCUUUCUGUUUAAGCAGUCUGUCAGGCUCUGAACGACACAGGGACAACCAGUGGGGACUGCAGGGAACAUGAAGGCAAGGGAUCAGAAUGGGGCAAGCAGGGCUGAGCCCAGCACCGUUGAGGAGCUCAUUGUGCCUGGUGCAGUUCCAGACCUUGGGAUGCUCACCUGCCUGGACUGUAGCUCUCAUCCCACUCCUGCCAGCACCAACAGACACCAAAAUCACAGCACUUCAGGUCCACUGCAAAGAAUCAAUCAAUACCAGGCUGAAAGCUCUGGCAUGUAAUGCAUCCUGGAGCGUCAGGAAGGGCUCUGCAUGAAGCGAGGAGGAGAUCAUCACAACUCUGUCCGACUCCAGAAGAUACACCAAGGGUAGAUGUUUCUGGUCAUCAGAUAAGUAGCACGCAACUCUUUUCUCAGUAACUUAAGUGCUGAUUCAUUGAAUAUUUUCUUGUCAGAAAACACUUCAUUUCCAGGUCCUUAUUUCCAGGUCAAAGUAACAUUCCUGUGUUUAUUUUGUACCUGGCACAUAACACCAAUCUAACCUGUAGGUCCAUUUCAGUGAGAUCACUUCCCAGAAUAAAGAUAUCAAAUUCUGGUUGCAAAAGUCAGAUAAUUAUUUGGGUUCUGAAACAACAAUGCUUUGGCAAACUCUUGAGAUUAAAAUAAAGAAAAAGAAGAGGAAAAAAGCUGCCUUUCAUUUUGCUCUCUAAACAGAAUCCACAAGAUACUUUUCAUCGAUUUCCUUGCUUUAGGCAAACACAUUGGGUUGUUAAAUGACAGAUUAACAAUGGAAGCACAAAAAUCCAAAAGUAAAUUUUUGUAUUGUUAUCCAAAGCAGUAACAACAUCUCCUCACCUUUUGGUACCAAGAUCUUGUAUGAAAAUAGAACUAAAACUACAGACUGUCAAACAAGCCAUCCAACUGCACUGAACAUGCAAUAUAUGUGAUUUAUUUUCCCAUUAUCCACAUUCUUUGUAUUUUAUUUAUUACCCAGCAGAAAGUAAUGAAAUUGUGAGAUACAGACAAGAAUCUCCGUGGGAAGAGAUCAGUGUGGAUGUUUGGAAGUUAGUUAAUCUCAGAAAAAUAGCUAUGCCUUGAGAGAAACCUGAAAUUACUGAUCUUAAAAGUCCUAAGAAGACAAAGAACAACUGCGCCACGUCCAAGGCAUCAAAGAAAACAGUAUCAGAUAUUUCACGUGGGCAGCACUCAAAAAUUUAUCCCUUGCAGUACCAAUAAAGUAGGUUGAAAUGUGGACAGGAUCAAGGUGAAGGUCUUAUCUGACAAAUACAAACCUUCAGAGGAAAGUAGGUUAAAAAAAAAGAAAACAGUUGCAAAAUUUAGUUUCAUCUUGAAAUAUAAUACAUUCAGAAAUGAUUUUGUUCUAACAUAUUGGAUUCUGUUACUGCUCAAGGACGUUAAGAUUUAAUGCCUUCAAUAAAGAGGCAGACAUUCUUUUUGCCUCCUUGGAAACACAGAAGUCUUACUAUGAGCCCUGAAAACCACGUUUGUUUUCUUUCUGGUUCAGGUCAAACUCACCAGUUUCUGCAGAAACUGUACUGCUCUUACAGGAAGCGAAAUGAAGACUCAGCUGUGUAACUGCAGUGUUUGUAUACAGAGUUUCCCACUGCAUGCUGGUUUACAUAUGUAUUUUUUAAUACAUGCAAAUAAUUAACACUGAUUUUAAUGACUGCCUUCUCCUUUAUGUCCAGAUGAGCAGUUACAAGACAAAUGCCUUCAUCUCCUCUUGCUGUAAGGACUAACUCAAAGUAAAGCAAGGGUGUGAAAAAGCAAAGGAACGCAGGAGAAACAAGCACUGCACAAAGCCAGCUGCAGUUU